AAGGGCUGUCCCUAGUACGAGAGGACCGGGACGGACGAACCUCUGGUGUGCCAGUUGUCCCGCCAGGGGCACGGCUGGUUGGCUACGUUCGGAAGGGAUAACCGCUGAAAGCAUCUAAGCGGGAAGCUCGCUUCGAGAUGAGGUAUCCCACCACCUUUGAGUGGGUAAGGCCCCCAGCUAGACUACUGGGUUGAUAGGCCGGAGAUGUAAGCCUAGUAAUAGGUUCAGUCGACCGGUACUAAUAGGCCGAGGGCUUAACUAC
This 262-nucleotide ribosomal RNA is filed under the name Actinoplanes sp. ATCC 53533. RNAcentral describes it as "Bacterial large subunit ribosomal RNA". It matches the Rfam family "Bacterial large subunit ribosomal RNA", at positions 2667 to 2925 of the family's 2925-position model. The record is from Rfam by way of RNAcentral. Lineage: Bacteria; Bacillati; Actinomycetota; Actinomycetes; Micromonosporales; Micromonosporaceae.